AACGAACGCUGGCGGCAUGCCUAACACAUGCAAGUCGAACGAGACCUUCGGGUCUUGUGGCGCACGGGUGCGUCACGCGUGGGAAUCUGCACUUGGGUUCGGCAUAACUCGCCGACAGGCGUGCUAAUACCGGAUGAUGACGUAAGUCCAAGGAUUUAUCGCCCCAGGAUGAGCCCGAGUUGGAUUAGCUAGUUGGGGAGGUAAAGGCUCACCAAGGCGACGAUCCAUAACUGGUCUGAGAGGAUGAUCAGCGACACUGAGACUGAGACGCGGCCGAGACUCCUACGCGAGGCAGCAGUGGGGAAUAUUGGACAAUGGGCGGAAGCCUGAUGCAGCACGGCCGCGUGAGUGAUGAAGGCCUUAGAGUAGUAAAGCGCUUGUAACCGGGAUGAUAAUGACCGUACCGGGAGAAUAAGCCCCGGCUAACUCCGUG
This 433-nucleotide ribosomal RNA is filed under the name uncultured bacterium. RNAcentral describes it as "partial 16S ribosomal RNA". It matches the Rfam family "Bacterial small subunit ribosomal RNA", at positions 29 to 507 of the family's 1533-position model. The record is from RNAcentral.